RNAcentral lists this ribosomal RNA (320 nucleotides) under uncultured eukaryote. RNAcentral's name for it is "partial 18S ribosomal RNA". It matches the Rfam family "Eukaryotic small subunit ribosomal RNA", at positions 1470 to 1796 of the family's 1831-position model. The record is from RNAcentral.
CCCUUAGAUGUUCUGGGCUGCACGCGCGCGACAAUGACGUUUGCAACGAGAUUGCGAGGCCGUCAGGUCGAGCUGAUCUUGCAAGCUGCGUCGUGAUAGGGACAGUCGAUUGCAAUUAUUCGACUCGAACGAGGAAUUCCUUGUAAUCGCGCAUCAUCAGUGCGCGCUGAAUACGUCCCUGCCCUUUGUACACACCGCCCGUCGCUGCUACCGAUUGAGUGGUCCGGUGAAUUAUUCGGACCGGUGGACUGUGGGGAAACCCGCGGCCUGCUGGGAAGUCUUGUGAACCUUAUCACUUAGAGGAAGCAGAAGUCGUAACA